RNAcentral lists this unclassified non-coding RNA (200 nucleotides) under soil metagenome. RNAcentral describes it as "partial contains internal transcribed spacer 2 and large subunit ribosomal RNA". The record is from RNAcentral.
UUUGGCUAUAAAAGUGCCUAAGUUAUUGGGCGCUUUUUGGGCUUAAAAAUGACUCCAAGACAUCAGUUGAAGCAUUUUGGCGUACCAAGAUAAUAAAAUAAUAUUACUUGCCAUGUUCAACGGCACUUGUUCUUGCUAAAAUAGUUGUGAAACUAGUAUAUUUUGACCUCAGAACAGGUAGGGAUACCCGCUGAACUUAA